GUGCUGGUGGGGGACGGUUGAUGGGCCGGAGGGUGGUUGCCUCCGGCAUCUGGGUCGCCGGUGCUGUUCGGGGUGUUCGAGUCCCCUCCGGAGCUC
Molecule: transfer RNA, 96 nt
Filed under: Nocardia cyriacigeorgica
Lineage: Bacteria; Bacillati; Actinomycetota; Actinomycetes; Mycobacteriales; Nocardiaceae
Description: tRNA-Thr(ggt)
Source: RNAcentral